Molecule: ribosomal RNA, 429 nt
Filed under: Gemmatimonadota bacterium
Lineage: Bacteria; Pseudomonadati; Gemmatimonadota
Description: Gemmatimonadetes bacterium partial 16S ribosomal RNA
Rfam family: Bacterial small subunit ribosomal RNA
Source: RNAcentral
UAGGGAAUCUUCGGCAAUGGACGAAAGUCUGACCGAGCAACGCCGCGUGAGUGAAGAAGGUUUUCGGAUCUUAAAACUCUGUUGUUAGAGAAGAACAAGGACGUUAGUAACUGAACGUCCCCUGACGGUAUCUAACCAGAAAGCCACGGCUAACUACGUGCCAGCAGCCGCGGUAAUACGUAGGUGGCAAGCGUUGUCCGGAUUUAUUGGGCGUAAAGCGAGCGCAGGCGGUUUCGUAAGUCUGAUGUGAAAGCCCCCGGCUCAACCGGGGAGGGUAAUUGGAAACUGGGAGGCGUGAGUGCAGAAGAGGAGAGUGGAAUUCCGUGUGUAGCGGUGAAGUGCGUAGAGAUAUGGAGGAACACCAGUGGAGAAGGCGGCGCGCUGGUCUGUAACUGACGGUGGGGAUAGAAAGCGUGGGGAGCAAACAGG